Molecule: long non-coding RNA, 358 nt
Filed under: Lepidothrix coronata (blue-crowned manakin)
Lineage: Eukaryota; Metazoa; Chordata; Aves; Passeriformes; Pipridae
Description: lncRNA (ENSLCOG00000014195.1)
Source: RNAcentral
AGCUGAGCAGAAGGGGAAAUCUGAUACGAAUAUUGUGUCAGCUUCUAUCAGCAGGUCAGUGUCUUCUGCAUUUACAAUGUAUAGGGAAUGACACAACUUGUGGAUUCGGCUUUCAGGAUGGAAAGGAGAUCUUUCAUGGAUACUGCCUUAUACUAGUGCAAAUUGGAUCACUUGGGACUAGAAAUACUAGCGUAUCUGGAGGAAAAAAGUGGUGUAAUUCCUCUGUACCCCAACCCAGAAAAUUAAGCUCCACACGUCAGGAGGUCUUGAAAUAAGAUCUCGUCUGCAGACUGUCCUGCCACUUCUGAAGCCAGCAGAAAGCCAUGCUGCUGCACUGCAGGAAAAAUUCCAGUUCCAC